Molecule: ribosomal RNA, 793 nt
Filed under: uncultured bacterium
Lineage: Bacteria
Description: bacterial SSU rRNA
Rfam family: Bacterial small subunit ribosomal RNA
Source: RNAcentral
AGAGUUUGAUCAUGGCUCAGAUUGAACGCUGGCGGCAGGCCUAACACAUGCAAGUCGAGCGGAUGAGUGGAGCUUGCUCCAUGAUUCAGCGGCGGACGGGUGAGUAAUGCCUAGGAAUCUGCCUGGUAGUGGGGGACAACGUUUCGAAAGGAACGCUAAUACCGCAUACGUCCUACGGGAGAAAGCAGGGGACCUUCGGGCCUUGCGCUAUCAGAUGAGCCUAGGUCGGAUUAGCUAGUUGGUGAGGUAAAGGCUCACCAAGGCGACGAUCCGUAACUGGUCUGAGAGGAUGAUCAGUCACACUGGAACUGAGACACGAUCCAGACUCCUACGGGAGGCAGCAGUGGGGAAUAUUGGACAAUGGGCGAGAGCCUGAUCCAGCCAUGCCGCGUGUGUGAAGAAGGUCUUCGGAUUGUAAAGCACUUUAAGUUGGGAGGAAGGGCAGUAAGCUAAUACCUUGCUGUUUUGACGUUACCGACAGAAUAAGCACCGGCUAACUUCGUGCCAGCAGCCGCGGUAAUACGAAGGGUGCAAGCGUUAAUCGGAAUUACUGGGCGUAAAGCGCGCGUAGGUGGUUCAGCAAGUUGGAUGUGAAAGCCCCGGGCUCAACCUGGGAACUGCAUCCAAAACUACUGAGCUAGAGUACGGUAGAGGGUGGUGGAAUUUCCUGUGUAGCGGUGAAAUGCGUAGAUAUAGGAAGGAACACCAGUGGCGAAGGCGACCACCUGGACUGAUACUGACACUGAGGUGCGAAAGCGUGGGGAGCAAACAGGAUUAGAUACCCCGGUAGUCC